Molecule: long non-coding RNA, 1145 nt
Organism: Cyprinodon tularosa
Lineage: Eukaryota; Metazoa; Chordata; Actinopteri; Cyprinodontiformes; Cyprinodontidae
Exons: 2
Source: RefSeq, a predicted model, not a curated record
UUGGCUGUGAAUUUGUGAUGAACGUUCCAUCUGCGAGUCAUAUGGGCGGCGUAUGGGAACGUCAAAUCCGAACGAUUCGAAGCAUCCUGUCGGCCAUGCUCGACAAAUCUGCAAGCAGACUCGACACCACAACUUUGAGGACCUUUCUAUAUGAAACAAUGGCUAUAAUCAACAGCAGGCCCUUGAGUGUUGAACAUCUUCGUGAUCCAACUGGUCCAGAACCUCUCACACCAAAUCAUAUAUUGACCAUGAAGUCAUCAGUUAUUCUGCCUCCACCUGGAAAGUUCUGUGCAGAAGACCUUUAUCUGAGUAAAAGGUGGAGAAGAGUGCAGUUCCUAGCCAAUGAAUUUUGGCAAAGAUGGAGGCGUGAAUAUCUGCUUAAUCUACAACAAAGGCAGAAGUGGCAACGAAAAUCACGAAACUCACAAGUAAAUGACAUAGUGAUACUGCAAGACGACAACUCACCAAGAAACGAAUGGAAGCUUGGCAAAGUGGUGGAAGUUCAGCCCAGCUCAGAUGGCAUGGUGAGAAAGCUGAAGCUACUUGUCAGUGACACCACACUUGAGAAAGGAAAACUACAAACCAGAGCUACUUACCUUGAGAGGCCCAUCCACAAAGUAGUUACUUUAAUAGAGGCCAACUAAGUUGUACAGAUAACUUUACAUUCAUGCAUACAUUGAUUUUUCUAGACUCAAUCUUAAAGUUUUUCUUAGAAAUCUCUCAAUUCAAGUUAAUGAGUGAUUUGGUGGGAGUGUAAGUGCUUUUGAAUUCUUGUUAAAAUUAAUCAUUCAUAAUUUAUGUUGUUGUUUAGGUAAAACUUUAAAUGAGUAAAUUCAUGGACGUGUUAUAAGAUAAAAUACGGGUUAAUUUUAUAAUUUAUUUCAUAAGUUUGCUCUUUUCUGCACUUUUAUGUUUAGCCAGGAACCAAUGUUCAUACUUGUGUACCACUACGUUAAAUUUAAUAGAUGCUACACUAUGAAGCAAGAUUACAAAGCCUGAUUCAAGCGUGUAAAGAACCUCUCUUCAUGACAAGCGGCUAAUGAGUUCUCACGGCAUAAAAGUAUGAACGUCAUAAAGAACCUUAAUGGAGUUUCAUGUUGAACGACAUGAGAGAAAAGACGAAAUAAAUGCCAGUUAAAGAGAAA